This 393-nucleotide ribosomal RNA is filed under the name uncultured bacterium. RNAcentral's name for it is "partial 16S ribosomal RNA". It matches the Rfam family "Bacterial small subunit ribosomal RNA", at positions 523 to 918 of the family's 1533-position model. The record is from RNAcentral.
AUACGGAGGAUCCGAGCGUUAUCCGGAUUUAUUGGGUUUAAAGGGAGCGUAGGUGGAUUGUUAAGUCAGUUGUGAAAGUUUGCGGCUCAACCGUAAAAUUGCAGUUGAAACUGGCAGUCUUGAGUACAGUAGAGGUGGGCGGAAUUCGUGGGGUAGCGGUGAAAUGCUUAGAUAUCACGAAGAACUCCGAUUGCGAAGGCAGCUCACUAGACUGUUACUGACACUGAUGCUCGAAAGUGUGGGUAUCAAACAGUAUUAGAUACCCUGGUAGUCCACACAGUAAACGAUGAAUACUCGCUGUUUGCGAUAUACAGUAAGCGGCCAAGCGAAAGCAUUAAGUAUUCCACCUGGGGAGUACGCCGGCAACGGUGAAACUCAAAUGAAUUGACGGGG